UCCCGGUUCACCCGGGCAGUCUCACUAGAGUUCCCACCAUUACGUGCUGGCAACUAGUGAUAAGGGUUGCGCUCGUUGCGGGACUUAACCCAACACCUCACGGCACGAGCUGACGACAGCCAUGCAGCACCUGUGCAGAGACCCUCGCGGGAAAUGCCAUCUCUGGCAUCGUCCUCUGCAUGUCAAGCCUGGGUAAGGUUCUUCGCGUUGCAUCGAAUUAAACCACAUGCUCCACUGCUUGUGCGGGUCCCCGUCAAUUCUUUUGAGUUUCACCCUUGCGGGCGUACUCCCCAGGCGGUAUACUUAUCGCGUUAGCUACGGCACAGCCAGGGUUGAGUCCGGCUACACCAAGUAUACAUUGUUUACGGCAAGGACUAC
Molecule: unclassified non-coding RNA, 378 nt
Filed under: uncultured Parachlamydiaceae bacterium
Lineage: Bacteria; Pseudomonadati; Chlamydiota; Chlamydiia; Parachlamydiales; Parachlamydiaceae
Description: contains 16S-23S intergenic spacer region
Source: RNAcentral